This 2238-nucleotide long non-coding RNA is filed under the name Homo sapiens (human). RNAcentral describes it as "HSALNT0072521". The record is from RNAcentral. Lineage: Eukaryota; Metazoa; Chordata; Mammalia; Primates; Hominidae.
AGCUGAGUCAGUAGCAUGAUCAGUGUGCAGGACCUGAAGGACUAUUUCCAAGGGAAGACUAACAUUUCACAAUGUGAAAGUUGUUAUCUAUAGAGCGGUUAAGGAAAAUGGUAAUCCAGGGUCUAGGUGAUUCUAGGACACUAGGCACAAAACCAUGAAGAAGCAGGCCAGAGAGCAAGCUGACCUCAUGGUUAAUGUUGAAUAUGCUGCAAACUUGGUUUAUUUUCCUUUCUCCCCUCUCUCCUUCCCUGGUUAAUUUUAUAAAGUUUACAGGGCAGUUUCAAAAGGGAGUUCUAGGAGGCAAUGGAGAAUACAAUAAGCAAGACAAAGCAGCAGCAGCCUAUGAGCAUAUUGCUUGCCCAGUGGUCUUGCGAGAACGGCUUCUCUGCAUUCAGCAUCUCAGUCAACUUCACAUGCGUAUCUGGAUCUCAUACAAGAUGAUGGGUCUUUCUAGAAGUUACAUAUUUUGCCUAAUUGACUAGAAGAGAGGAUAGUGAAGAAGUUAAAUUGAAGGCAUAUGUUCUGAUCUGAAUUUUAUACUUGUCUCCAUUUAAUUUUAAACAGCUUUUCCUGUCAUCCUUUAAUUUAAAUUAUGUUGCCCCAUAAUUCCCACCUAAGAGCCUAUUCUUUUCCUUCUUGGCAUUUACCUGAAUUUGAAAUAUAUUUAUUUGUCUCUUUAUUUCCUCAGUAUCUUGCCUCCCACACUUAGAUUGCAAGGUUUAUAAUUUGGAUCAAGACUGUUCUGUUUACUAGUAUCUAUCUAGCACAUGAGGAGUAAUCUGCUGUAAGAUUGAUCAAACCAUGAAAUGUAUCACAGUGAAUAGGACUCCAAGUAGAAGAGAGGAGGAGGCUCUGACUUUUAUCGAUGAAGCCUGAAUGAUGUGCCUCUCCCUAGGGCACUAUUCUAAGCAUUCUGAUUUUUCUGCUGCUUCUCAGAAUCCCUUGUCUUUUAAAUAAUUUCUUGCUGUCUAGUCUUGUCUUUGGACAUAUACACAUAGUUUAUUUUUCUGUCUGAAAAAUUAUAUCGCUUUUCAACAGAAAGUACAAAAUCUCUCAAAUUACUCUGUACAUAAAUCAAACUGUCUCUCAUUCUAUAUCACAGUAGAAUCAUGCUGGAUCCUGGUGGGAAUAUCCACCACCGUCCCACUCUCAACAAGGACUGGGCAUAUGACAAAACUAACUGGACCAGGCGGACACUCUACUUCUCUGCUAGGAAUCGGAAUCUUGAGCAGAGUGAUGCUGGGUGGAAUGAAGGUAGUUGGAGUUAAAUCCUUCCUGUGGUCAUACCAAAAGAGACUGCCCAUAAGUUUAUUCUAUAAAGACCCCCAAGAGUUGUCCUGGUUUCUAUCCCACCUCAAGGUCAGGUGGUUCUGUUUUCCUUUAUUCUGUGAAUUACCCAAUGUUCUUCCAUGCUAGGGUGCAGGAGUGGUAGAAAGCACUUAAGUUAGCUGAAGCCAAUUUCUGUAGCUUGCAAUCAAAGAUCUCCAAUUGAUACAAGCAUAAAACAUGUAUAUAAACAAAAUAAAUAAACUAUGUAAGACAAUACAGUACAUCAUAGAUGCCAAACAAAUAACACAGAUAGCAGGGGUUGCAAUACUCAGAGGAGCUAGAUAUAUCUAUGGUCUGAUAAAGUCAAGGAAGAUUUUAUAAAGGAAAUGGGUUAUGUAUCUUUGAGUUACUGUUGCCCAUCCAUUGGGCAGCAUCUAUGAAAGAUCAAUAGCAGUAUAGCAUCGAGUUAAUAGCUCAGGCUCCAAGUCAGAGAGAACUUGGGCUUAAAUCCUGGCUCUGUCUGGCUAUAUAAUUUUAUUCAGGUAAGUUAACCGUUAAUGUCUUUGCUCCUGUUUCUUUAUUUGUAAAACGUAAGGAUUAAUACUCAUAUGAUAGGUUCACUGUAAGCAUUAAAUCAGAUAAUGCUUGUAAAAUGCUUAGCACAGUACUAAUAUGUACUCAAUUUUAAAAAGAAAUGAGCCGGGCACUGUGGCUCAUGCCUGUAAUUAUAGCACUCUGGGAAGCCAAGGCAGGAGGAUUACUUGAGCCCAGGAGUUUGGGACCAGCCUAGGCAACGUAGCGAGACCCCUGUCUCUACAAAAAAUUUUAAAAAUUAGCUGGGCAUUGUGGUGCAUGCCUGUAGCCCCUGCUACUUGGGAGGCUGAGGUGGGAGGAUCACUUGAGUCCAGGAGGUUGAAGCUGCAGUAAGCCAUGUCUGUACCACUGCACUCCAGCCUGAGCAACACAACA